AAGGGUUCCUGUCCAACGUUAAUCGGGGCAGGGUGAGUCGACCCCUAAGGCGAGGCCGAAAGGCGUAGUCGAUGGGAAACAGGUUAAUAUUCCUGUACUUGGUGUUACUGCGAAGGGGGGACGGAGAAGGCUAUGUUAGCCGGGCGACGGUUGUCCCGGUUUAAGCAUGUAGGCUGGUUGUCCAGGCAAAUCCGGAUAAUCAAGGCUGAGGUGUGAUGACGAGGCACUACGGUGCUGAAGUAACAAAUGCCCUGCUUCCAGGAAAAGCCUCUAAGCAUCAGGUAACAUCAAAUCGUACCCCAAACCGACACAGGUGGUCAGGUAGAGAAUACCAAGGCGCUUGAGAGAACUCGGGUGAAGGAACUAGGCAAAAUGGUGCCGUAACUUCGGGAGAAGGCACGCUGGUGUGUAGGUGAAGUCCCUGCGGAUGGAGCUGAGACCAGUCGAAGAUACCAGCUGGCUGCAACUGUUUAUUAAAAACACAGCACUGUGCAAACACGAAAGUGGACGUAUACGGUGUGACGCCUGCCCGGUGCCGGAAGGUUAAUUGAUGGGGUUAUCCGUAAGGAGAAGCUCUUGAUCGAAGCCCCGGUAAACGGCGGCCGUAACUAUAACGGUCCUAAGGUAGCGAAAUUCCUUGUCGGGUAAGUUCCGACCUGCACGAAUGGCGUAAUGAUGGCCAGGCUGUCUCCACCCGAGACUCAGUGAAAUUGAACUCGCUGUGAAGAUGCAGUGUACCCGCGGCAAGACGGAAAGACCCCGUGAACCUUUACUAUAGCUUGACACUGAACAUUGAGCCUUGAUGUGUAGGAUAGGUGGGAGGCUUUGAAGCGUGGACGCCAGUCUGCGUGGAGCCAACCUUGAAAUACCACCCUUUAAUGUUUGAUGUUCUAACGUUGGCCCCUUACCGGGGUUGCGGACAGUGUCUGGUGGGUAGUUUGACUGGGGCGGUCUCCUCCCAAAGCGUAACGGAGGAGCACGAAGGUUAGCUAAUCCUGGUCGGACAUCAGGAGGUUAGUGCAAUGGCAUAAGCUAGCUUGACUGCGAGCGUGACGGCGCGAGCAGGUGCGAAAGCAGGUCAUAGUGAUCCGGUGGUUCUGAAUGGAAGGGCCAUCGCUCAACGGAUAAAAGGUACUCCGGGGAUAACAGGCUGAUACCGCCCAAGAGUUCAUAUCGACGGCGGUGUUUGGCACCUCGAUGUCGGCUCAUCACAUCCUGGGGCUGAAGUAGGUCCCAAGGGUAUGGCUGUUCGCCAUUUAAAGUGGUACGCGAGCUGGGUUUAGAACGUCGUGAGACAGUUCGGUCCCUAUCUGCCGUGGGCGCUGGAGAAUUGAGGGGGGCUGCUCCUAGUACGAGAGGACCGGAGUGGACGCAUCACUGGUGUUCGGGUUGUCAUGCCAAUGGCACUGCCCGGUAGCUAAAUGCGGAAGAGAUAAGUGCUGAAAGCAUCUAAGCACGAAACUUGCCCCGAGAUGAGUUCUCCCUGAGACUUUAAGUCUCCUGAAGGAACGUUAAAGACGAUGACGUUGAUAGGCCGGGUGUGUAAGCGCAGCGAUGCGUUGAGCUAACCGGUACUAAUGAACCGUGAGGCUUAACCUUACAACGCCGAAG
RNAcentral lists this ribosomal RNA (1611 nucleotides) under Klebsiella pneumoniae. RNAcentral's name for it is "bacterial LSU rRNA". It matches the Rfam family "Bacterial large subunit ribosomal RNA", at positions 1347 to 2925 of the family's 2925-position model. The record is from RNAcentral. Lineage: Bacteria; Pseudomonadati; Pseudomonadota; Gammaproteobacteria; Enterobacterales; Enterobacteriaceae.